Long non-coding RNA from Rhopalosiphum padi (bird cherry-oat aphid), 2195 nucleotides. RefSeq lists it as uncharacterized. The transcript is spliced from 5 exons. NCBI's taxonomy places the organism in Eukaryota, Metazoa, Arthropoda, Insecta, Hemiptera, Aphididae. The record is from RefSeq and is a predicted model, not a curated record.
GCGGGCGGUGGUGGCGCUUGCGCUCGACGACCGUUUCGCGCGCAUAUCGACAGCUCCUUCCCCGGACGGCGUCGGCGGUCAGUGCGACUCUGAGGCUUUGCGAGAUGCGACCGUCUGCUGCCGCCUACCGCCGUUGCCGAUGACUCGCGAUAGGCCUUUGUCACGACAUUUGAGUUUCGUGUCCGUUUCAUCCGCCGACAGUGGCGGACGUUUAGACGCUACACCGGUACAUCAAAGGCCAUCACCAUUUACUGUUGGUUGAGCUCGUCGUCUCCCACGGGGAGACAUAACUAUGGACCGUCCGCGCUGGGUGGCAAGAGAGGCACCUUCCCGAACGUCGCCAUGCAGGAAGUGGAGAGGGCCAAAGCUAGACAUAUGGCGAAAAAACAAAACAGCAAAGUAGAACGUCAGAAAUCAUCAGACAAAACAUUAUCCAAAGCACCAAGUAUUGAGACCAAAAAACAAGAAAAAUGACAAACAAUAUUCACAUAUUAAAGAUUUUAUUUUUUUAGCACUCUCACUGAAAAUGAUAACAACACUGUAAUUCGUAAUCAAAUAUACUUCUUUAAGUACACUAUAAUAUUGUUAUUGUAAUUUAUAAUACACAUCAUAAUUUCAUUGUAUAUUUACAUAAUAAUGAUCGUGUUAAUUUUACCUUAAAUUUUAUCACGUUUCGUGUAUUCAAUGACCAAAAAUAUUUUGUAACGUUUAGAGUGCAGAACAACUAUUAUAAUAGUAUUGCAUUAUUAUACCUAUUUGUUGUAUAAUAAUAUUAUGUCACACAUAUGGUUUUUUUUUUUGUAAAUUUAAAGCUCAAACAUCUUUGAAUGUUUAAUAAUACUACUUAUAUACGUAUUUUGUAAGCGUCUUAGACUCUUAGACGUAUGUCACACACAAUUAUAUUUAUAUUAUACUAUUAUAUUUAUAGACGUAUGUAAUACGAAUGGAAAUAAAUGAAUACAACUCCAUUUUAACAAUGUUUACGAUUUAUACUCUCGUAAUCUAAAAUGAAUAGACUACAAUAUAUUUUAUUCAUAACGACUUAAUGGCUUGUACGUAUUUUCGUCCAUUAUUUUUUUCGGUAGAUAUGUGAGUUUAUACAUUGCAUUUUUAUCCAACUUCUGCAAUUCAUUGAAAUAUAAAUAUUGUUCAUAUAUUUAAUCAAUCGAACAAAAUAUCUUUACUGAUAUUAGUACAUUUUUCAUUAAUUUAUAUUAGAUAACAUUAUGUAUUCUAUGUAUUUAUACUACAUAGAAAUGUUCACUUAAGAAAUGCUUAACAAUUUUUUAUCAUUACAAUUGAUUUUACAAUCGAUAUUAGUUACCUAAUAAUUAAUAUUAUUAUUAAUUUGUAUAAAUAAUACACGAAAAUCUACCUACAACAAAAAAUAAUUUUCAAAUGUAAAAUACUAAAAUCCAUACUAUAUAUUUAAAUAUAUUUUGGUAUAUUACCAAUACAGUAAAAUAUGACCUAGUAAGCUUUAUAAAAAACAUUUAAAUGCGUUGAUUAAUGCUUGGGUUGUGGUGCUGUUGUUAAUGUCAGCUUGACGUGAUCAAAAACAAAUUGGGUACUUAAUAAAUGAAUGGGCGAAAAAAAAAUGGUCGAAAUGUCGUGAACAAAACAGUCCAAGAACAGUUUUUAUGAUGGCUGGGAAUUUAUCAAACUGUCUGUGGUCGGAUAUGCAAGAAAAAUCAAUACCCAUAUAGAAACACUAAAAACACAUUAUUUUAUUAAAACAAUAACUUAUGAAUGUAGCGUUUUUUUAUUUAUUUAACAUUCCUUUAUUUUCUGCCUAUAUGAAAUAUAACAUACUGUGUGUUUUGGCUUAGAAGCCAAGUCAAAUAUUGUGACAUAAUAUUAUUGAUCUACUUUGCGAUUGAAAUAUAAAACGAUGUCGAAAACACGACAAUAAAUCAACGAUAAAAGGUCAUGAAAUAAUAUAUUCUAUUACUUAUGGUGACAUUUUCCGUUUCUUUUUACAUUCUAUGUAUAGGAAACUUAUGUAUAAAAUAAUAUUAUACUCGGACGAGUGAGACGACAACCGCCGCGUGGGAUGUGUCAUCGGUGUAAAUAUAGAAACAAUAAUAAUAUGCAUCACGCGUUUAUUUGUCGUGUCCUCGCUUCCGGUCGAAACAUAACGAAUCUUGGAAAUCAAUAAUUUGAAAUGGACGAGUAAAAAGCAUGGCAUGUACUGA